GCAGUCGAACGAGUUCUCGUUGAUGAUCGGUGCUUGCACCGAGAUUCAACAUGGAACGAGUGGCGGACGGGUGAGUAACACGUGGGUAACCUGCCCUUAAGUGGGGGAUAACAUUUGGAAACAGAUGCUAAUACCGCAUAGAUCCAAGAACCGCAUGGUUCUUGGCUGAAAGAUGGCGUAAGCUAUCGCUUUUGGAUGGACCCGCGGCGUAUUAGCUAGUUGGUGAGGUAAUGGCUCACCAAGGCGAUGAUACGUAGCCGAACUGAGAGGUUGAUCGGCCACAUUGGGACUGAGACACGGCCCAAACUCCUACGGGAGGCAGCAGUAGGGAAUCUUCCACAAUGGACGCAAGUCUGAUGGAGCAACGCCGCGUGAGUGAAGAAGGCUUUCGGGUCGUAAAACUCUGUUGUUGGAGAAGAAUGGUCGGCAGAGUAACUGUUGUCGGCGUGACGGUAUCCAACCAGAAAGCCACGGCUAACUACGUGCCAGCAGCCGCGGUAAUACGUAGGUGGCAAGCGUUAUCCGGAUUUAUUGGGCGUAAAGCGAGCGCAGGCGGUUUUUUAAGUCUGAUGUGAAAGCCCUCGGCUUAACCGAGGAAGCGCAUCGGAAACUGGGAAACUUGA
Molecule: ribosomal RNA, 623 nt
Filed under: Lacticaseibacillus paracasei subsp. tolerans
Lineage: Bacteria; Bacillati; Bacillota; Bacilli; Lactobacillales; Lactobacillaceae
Description: bacterial SSU rRNA
Rfam family: Bacterial small subunit ribosomal RNA
Source: RNAcentral